UUAUCAUUUAAAAUUAUAAUUAAAUCAUAUACGGAUAUGAGGGUUUUCGUCUUUAUAGUUUCUUCUCUUUUGUUUACUUCCUUUUGGCUUCCUACUUCAGCCGAACAAUGUGGAACUCAAGCUGGGGGUGUUGUGUGUCCUGGAGGCCUGUGUUGUAGUAAAUGGGGUUGGUGUGGUACGACAAGUGAUUACUGUUGUGAGGGUUGCCAAAGCCAAUGUAAUUGUCCCAGUGGACGUAGAGCCGGCAUUCUCCGAGGAGGUGGUGGAGAUAUGGAUGAGAUAAAUUCAGAAAAGGCAUUUGAUAAGAUACUCGGUCAAAAGCCAUAUGGGCUUUAGACUUAGUAGAUACAACGUAAUCAGUUUCCAUCUCAUAUGGAAAAUAGUAAACUAAAUAAAAAUAUGUGCCUUAUAUUUCUAUAAUCUUAUUUCUUUAUCGAAUGGAUUAUAGAAAUUACUGUGUGUACGUUAAGUGCAAGCAUAUGCACUUGUUUCGAUAAUAAUAUGGAUGUUGGUUUUCACUAUUUUAUAAUUUACUAUGUGUAAUUGUAACAUUCCAAAACCUACAGAUAGAAAUAGAGCAACCAUUAGCUUUAAAUUGUACCAUUUUAAAGUUAGAGUAAUUAGCUUUAGGGGAGGUGCUAGCUUGACCUCGAGCUGAUUAGGGGAGGUGCUAGCUUAUCCAUAGCCGUCUGACACACAAUUCGUUUAAAGAUAGAGCACUAAAGUUGUGUUUAGAGGUCUAACUUGCAUUUCAUAUAGAGUUAUACGUCCAAAGGUAGAGUUAAAAUAAGAACGACCAGUACUAGUAUUUUAACAUCUUCAAACUGUAAUAACUGAAUCAUAGAAAACCCAAAUAAGAAAACAAAUAUAUCUUAAAAUAAAGUAUCUAACGUGAUAAGCAGGUCGGAAUCAAGUUGCUAUUGGGAGGUGCUGAAGGGUUUCCCGACGUGCUAGCUUGAGGUGCUUCCUAAAACCGACAUGCUUGCUUAAAUGAAAUGAACUUCUAAAUAUUAAAAAUGUAAGUUUAGUAGGUCAAUCUAUGAAUAUUGAAAGUUUAAAAACUAAAUUGAAACAUGUGGAAAAGUUUAGUAGGUGAAAGUGUGAAUAUGGAAAAUUUAAAAGUAAAAUUCCAAGUUUGCCCUCCACCUUUUUCUAUAUUUACACCUAACCCACCAUUUGACACCUAGCCAUGCAUGACUAAGCAUGAAAUGGAAAGUUGUCUUCAUUUGGUCCAUCCUUGCCGUGGCUACACCAAAAGGAAAGAGAAAAAGGCUUUUGCUUUCUUAACUUUCAUCUCCACCAUAUUUCUCCAAAAAGACAAAGCUUUCACCCAUGCACAAUCUGUUCUUAGGUGUUCUAACCAGCAAAGGAACCAUAGAAAGAAAGGAAAGAAGAAGAGAAGUUAAGGUGCUUAAGUGAACAAACUCAAAGGGAGGAAGGUACAUCAAAGGGGAAAGGCAAGGAAAAAGAGUAACUAAGGUGUACCUAAAGAUUUUGAAAAGAAUUGACAAAAGGU
This is a long non-coding RNA of Manihot esculenta (cassava), 1516 nucleotides long. RefSeq lists it as uncharacterized. The record is from RefSeq and is a predicted model, not a curated record. The transcript has 2 exons. Lineage: Eukaryota; Viridiplantae; Streptophyta; Magnoliopsida; Malpighiales; Euphorbiaceae.